Cyprinus carpio (common carp) is the source of this 727-nucleotide long non-coding RNA. RefSeq lists it as uncharacterized. The record is from RefSeq and is a predicted model, not a curated record. The transcript is spliced from 3 exons. NCBI's taxonomy places the organism in Eukaryota, Metazoa, Chordata, Actinopteri, Cypriniformes, Cyprinidae.
UUUACAGAGUUUGAUAUUACAGCAACAUGUAUUUGUUUGAGUUUUGUGCGCUUCGCUGUCCACUGCUUCUGACGCACCAAUUCAGCGCAUUUUCCAGCAGAGAUCGUUGUGAGAUCGCAGGUCGGGAGAAUGACAGCUCGAGUGUAUUUCUCGUUGAUUGCUGUUUUGUUGUGUCUGUUUGGAUACUUGAGCAUAACUCACGCUAUUCAAAGAUGAACCACAGUGGAUGGUUUUUGUCUGGAGAGGCUGACGGUUGUGCCAUCCCGUCGAGGAUGUUCUUCUGAUGAAGACUGCCCUGGAGGACACAAAUGCUGUCGAUUUGACUGUGGGCCUGUUUGUGUGCUGCCUGUUUUCAUGAAGCCGGGUCAAUGUCCCCUACCAGAGAUGAUUCCACUGUGUGCUGAAAGCUGUUUCCAUGAUGGCCAGUGUCCUGCCACACAGAAAUGUUGCCCAACAACCGGUGGCUUUGCAUGCAGUGAACCACGUGGUCAGGGAAGAGGUCAGGCAAGUUGCCAGGGAAGCGGCCAGGGCAUCGGACAGGGCCAGGGAAGCGGCCAGGGCAUCGGACAGGGUCAGGGAAGGGGCCAGGGCAUCGGUCAUGGUCAGGGAAGGGGCCAGGGCAUCGGUCAUGGUCAGGGAAGCGGCCAGGGCAUCGGACAGGGAAGCGGUCAUGGCCAGGACAUCGGUCAUGGUCAGGGAAGCGGACAGGGCAUCGGUCAUGGUGUAA